This 27-nucleotide non-coding RNA is filed under the name Rattus norvegicus (Norway rat). Lineage: Eukaryota; Metazoa; Chordata; Mammalia; Rodentia; Muridae. The record is from RNAcentral.
UGGCACAGUAGAAAUGAGUUCAUUGCC